CAGGGAUGCAAAAAUUUAUAAAAACAUAAUUUUAAUAUUUGGUUAAGGGCAUUCUUGAUCGAGCAGGACACCCGAGUCUAAAUAUAAACAUCAUCAUCUUUUAAAUGUUCUUAUAUUAUAUUUCUCCCUUAUAUAAUGCCAUUCCCCACUAACCUGACUGAAGUCAUUAACAUUUAACAUUUGUUCUUCAGUCAGAUAUAUUUAAAUCUGACUGACUUAUCAAAGAAUGAAUAAAUGUUUUGUGUAAAACAGGUUUAUUUACAAUACCUUGAAGUACUAAGCAUAAAAAGAGUCUUUACAAUAGAUAUUUUUCAAAUAUUUCUGUGAACUAUCAAAUACAAAUUUUCCAAAUGCCAAGCGAUGCCAUUUUAAAUGAGCUCAAACAUUUCUUUCUAGAUAGUUGUUGUCUGAGUGACCUGUUCAGUGAUUGUGUUAUUGUGUGUUUACAUGCAGGUCUCAUAAUAUUGAGUAAUACCAUAAUAUUGAUCAAAUCUGAUGUCUUGGGCCAUUGGUCAGUUUAUAUUUACUUUGAUAAUGUUUUGGAGAGAGCUUCUAUUUGCUGUGUUGGUUGGACUUGGAAAAAGCUGUUGGUGGAGGGUCAAUGUCCAACACUGAACCCUGUGACGAACCGGCAAACACACACACACACACACACACACACACACAUACAUCUGUUUCGAUCAUAUGUGAUUGCAGGAGGACGCUUCAAGGGAAUCUUUGCUGAGGGUCAGUAACGGGAUGAGAUGGGGCUCAUGGGGUCAAAAGGAAAUGUGUCCAUCUUGAAUGUAAUCUUAAUGUUAUCUCUAAGGCAGUGUGAUCCAAAACAGUGACAAAAUUUGCAUUUAGAAGAUUUCAGAGCAUUCAGCAUUCAGAGCUUGCACUUCCGCCAAAAUGGCUCAUUGAUUUUUUUUUUUACUUCAUCUUCUGAAAGAUCAUGUUCCAUGAUGAUAUUUUGUAAAUUUCCUACUGUAAAUAUAUGAAAAAUUAUUUUUUGAUUAGUAAUAUGCAUUACUAAGAACUUAGCCUUUAAAUAUAUGCAUUUUCACCAUGUUUUUAAGAAUAAAGUGUUUAUAAAUCAGUGUGAAUGAUGAUAUAUGCACAAACCCCACAGUAAAAACCUUCAGAACAUAAAAAAGAAUAAAUCUCUAAGUUUUGGUGUAUGUUCGUGCUGCUGAAGUGGAGAAAAACUUUUAAAAGACAUUCAUUGGAAUUGAAAUCUACAGAUGCAAAUAAAUAAAUUGCAAUAAAAUAAACACUUAAAUGUGUAUUUUGAAUGUUUUCUUUCCACUAGUCUGAAAGAAGACAAGUUAUGGAAGCAAAACCUCAAAAUGUAGCAGUGCAUG
Carassius carassius (crucian carp) is the source of this 1343-nucleotide long non-coding RNA. RefSeq lists it as uncharacterized. The record is from RefSeq and is a predicted model, not a curated record. The transcript is spliced from 2 exons. Lineage: Eukaryota; Metazoa; Chordata; Actinopteri; Cypriniformes; Cyprinidae.